UACGUAGGGGGCAAGCGUUGUUCGGAAUUACUGGGCGUAAAGGGCUCGUAGGUGGCCAACUAAGUCAGACGUGAAAUCCCUCGGCUUAACCGGGGAACUGCGUCUGAUACUGGAUGGCUCGAGUUCGGGAGAGGGAUGCGGAAUUCCAGGUGUAGCGGUGAAAUGCGUAGAUAUCUGGAGGAACACCGGUGGCGAAGGCGGCAUCCUGGACCGACACUGACACUGAGGAGCGAAAGCCAGGGGAGCAAACGGG
RNAcentral lists this ribosomal RNA (253 nucleotides) under uncultured bacterium. RNAcentral's name for it is "partial 16S ribosomal RNA". It matches the Rfam family "Bacterial small subunit ribosomal RNA", at positions 524 to 776 of the family's 1533-position model. The record is from RNAcentral.